GAGUUUGAUCCUGGCUCAGAUUGAACGCUGGCGGCAGGCCUAACACAUGCAAGUCGAGCGGAAACGAGUUAACUGAACCUUCGGGGAACGUUAACGGCGUCGAGCGGCGGACGGGUGAGUAAUGCCUGGGAAAUUGCCCUGAUGUGGGGGAUAACCAUUGGAAACGAUGGCUAAUACCGCAUAAUAGCUUCGGCUCAAAGAGGGGGACCUUCGGGCCUCUCGCGUCAGGAUAUGCCCAGGUGGGAUUAGCUAGUUGGUGAGGUAAUGGCUCACCAAGGCGACGAUCCCUAGCUGGUCUGAGAGGAUGAUCAGCCACACUGGAACUGAGACACGGUCCAGACUCCUACGGGAGGCAGCAGUGGGGAAUAUUGCACAAUGGGCGCAAGCCUGAUGCAGCCAUGCCGCGUGUAUGAAGAAGGCCUUCGGGUUGUAAAGUACUUUCAGCAGUGAGGAAGGUGGAUAUGUUAAUAGCAUAUUCAUUUGACGUUAGCUGCAGAAGAAGCACCGGCUAACUCCGUGCCAGCAGCCGCGGUAAUACGGAGGGUGCGAGCGUUAAUCGGAAUUACUGGGCGUAAAGCGCAUGCAGGUGGUUUGUUAAGUCAAAUGUGAAAGCCCCGGGGC
Molecule: ribosomal RNA, 621 nt
Filed under: uncultured bacterium
Lineage: Bacteria
Description: bacterial SSU rRNA
Rfam family: Bacterial small subunit ribosomal RNA
Source: RNAcentral